CAGCCUCUACAACCUUAUGACGGCCUUCUAAGCCGUAGAUCGCGGGUUCAAAUCCCGCCGGGUCCG
This 66-nucleotide transfer RNA is filed under the name Archaeoglobus fulgidus. RNAcentral's name for it is "tRNA-Leu". It matches the Rfam family "tRNA", at positions 14 to 71 of the family's 71-position model. Rfam says of the family: Transfer RNA (tRNA) molecules are approximately 80 nucleotides in length. Their secondary structure includes four short double-helical elements and three loops (D, anti-codon, and T loops). The record is from RNAcentral. Lineage: Archaea; Methanobacteriati; Methanobacteriota; Archaeoglobi; Archaeoglobales; Archaeoglobaceae.